CCUACGGGAGGCAGCAGUUAGGAAUCUUCCGCAAUGGGCGAAAGCCUGACGGAGCGACACUGCGUGAGGGAAGGAGUCCUUCGGGAUGUAAACCUCUGUCGAGAGGGGAAGAAACAGACGGUACCCUCAAAGGAAGCCCCGGCUAACUACGUGC
This 154-nucleotide ribosomal RNA is filed under the name uncultured bacterium. RNAcentral describes it as "partial 16S ribosomal RNA". It matches the Rfam family "Bacterial small subunit ribosomal RNA", at positions 338 to 508 of the family's 1533-position model. The record is from RNAcentral.